GAGUUUGAUCCUGGCUCAGAAUCAACGCUGGCGGCAUGCCUAACACAUGCAAGUCGAACGCGAAAGUCCUUCGGGAUGAGUAGAGUGGCGUACGGGUGAGUAACGCGUGGGUCAUCUCCCUUCGGGUGGGGAAUAACUCAGGGAAACUUGAGCUAAUACCGCAUAAUACGGAAACGUUAAAGCAGCAAUGCGCCUGAAGAUGAGCCUGCGUCUGAUUAGCUAGUUGGUGGGGUAACGGCUCACCAAGGCGACGAUCAGUAGCCGACCUGAGAGGGUGGUCGGCCACACUGGCACUGAAAUACGGGCCAGACUCCUACGGGAGGCAGCAGUGAGGAAUUUUGGGCAAUGGGCGAAAGCCUGACCCAGCAAUGCCGCGUGAACGAUGAAGUCUUUCGGGAUGUAAAGUUCGUAAGCAGGAGAAGAAUACAUGACGGUAUCCUGUGUAAGCCCCGGCUAACUCCGUGCCAGCAGCCGCGGUAGCUAAAUC
RNAcentral lists this ribosomal RNA (487 nucleotides) under uncultured bacterium. RNAcentral's name for it is "bacterial SSU rRNA". It matches the Rfam family "Bacterial small subunit ribosomal RNA", at positions 9 to 526 of the family's 1533-position model. The record is from RNAcentral.